This 519-nucleotide ribosomal RNA is filed under the name uncultured bacterium. RNAcentral's name for it is "bacterial SSU rRNA". It matches the Rfam family "Bacterial small subunit ribosomal RNA", at positions 28 to 530 of the family's 1533-position model. The record is from RNAcentral.
GACGAACGCUGGCGGCGUGCCUAAUACAUGCAAGUCGAGCGGACCAAAGGGAGCUUGCUCCUGGAGGUUAGCGGCGAACGGGUGAGUAACACGUGGGCAACCUGCCUGUAAGACUGGGAUAACAUCGAGAAAUCGGUGCUAAUACCGGAUAAUAAAAAGAACUGCAUGGUUCUUUUUUGAAAGAUGGUUUCGGCUAUCACUUACAGAUGGGCCCGCGGCGCAUUAGCUAGUUGGUGAGGUAACGGCUCACCAAGGCGACGAUGCGUAGCCGACCUGAGAGGGUGAUCGGCCACACUGGGACUGAGACACGGCCCAGACUCCUACGGGAGGCAGCAGUAGGGAAUCUUCCGGCAAUGGACGAAAGGUCUGACGGAGCAACGCCGCGUGAGUGAUGAAGGUUUUCGGAUCGUAAAACUCUGUUGUUAGGGAAGAACAAGUGCCGUUCGAAAGGGCGGCACCUUGACGGUACCUAACGAGAAAGCCACGGCUAACUACGUGCCAGCAGCCGCGGUAAAGUAG